This 524-nucleotide ribosomal RNA is filed under the name uncultured bacterium. RNAcentral describes it as "partial 16S ribosomal RNA". It matches the Rfam family "Bacterial small subunit ribosomal RNA", at positions 28 to 523 of the family's 1533-position model. The record is from RNAcentral.
GACGAACGAUGGCGGCGUGCCUAAUACAUGCAAGUCGAACGAAGCUGUUUUAACUGGUGCUUGCACCGACUUAAACAACUGAGUGGCGAACGGGUGAGUAACACGUUGGUAACCUGCCCCAAAGCGGGGGAUAACAUUUGGAAACAGAUGCUAAUACCGCAUAACCACAGAAACCACAUGGUUUCUGUGACAAAGAUGGUUUCGGCUAUCACUUUGGGAUGGACCCCCGGCGUAUUAGCUAGUUGGUAAGGUAAUGGCUUACCAAGGCAAUGAUACGUAGCCGAACUGAGAGGUUGAUCGGCCACAUUGGGACUGAGACACGGCCCAAACUCCUACGGGAGGCAGCAGUAGGGAAUCUUCCACAAUGGACGAAAGUCUGAUGGAGCAACGCCGCGUGAGUGAAGAAGGUUUUCGGAUCGUAAAACUCUGUUGUCAGAGAAGAACGUGUGCGAGAGUAACUGUUCGUGCAGUGACGGUAUCUGGCCAGAAAGCCACGGCUAACUACGUGCCAGCCGCCGCGGUAA